This is a long non-coding RNA of Mustela erminea (ermine), 1602 nucleotides long. RefSeq lists it as uncharacterized. The transcript has 3 exons. NCBI's taxonomy places the organism in Eukaryota, Metazoa, Chordata, Mammalia, Carnivora, Mustelidae. The record is from RefSeq and is a predicted model, not a curated record.
UUCGGUCAGGUCUCUGGCCCCAGGCUCAGGGCAACCUCGGCAGGUGGAAGCGCCUUCCUGGGCCUCCCCUUCCACACCUUCCUUAAAUGAGGGCGUUGGAGGAGAGGCUGGUUCUUUUCAGUCCUGGAUGAAUUCCUUGCUCCCGUUCUCAUUACCUCAUUGACUAUCUGGAUAGAGGUGGUUUUUGUUUUGUUUUGUUUUUAAUCUGCAGCUAAAAUUGAUAAGGGGGAAAACUGUAGUCUAAGGUGGCCGACCAAACCAGCGAGGGAAUUGCAGUCCCUGUCUCAAAGCCCUUCCCGGCUCUUCCCUACCCUGUUUCCCGUGUGCACCAGAAGUACCAUAUGGAAGUAGAAGGGUAUAAAUUCCCCUCCCUGCUAGUGCUCGGGGCUAGCACCUUUGGAGAACGGCUUCUUCUGAGCCCGCCGGUAUUAAAUAAACCUCCCAUCCUCCCAGGUCUCCGAGACAGCUUGGCUCUUCUGUCAGGACCCAGUGCACUUCCCCUAACACGUGGUUCCCGGCCCGGGAAACCCAACCACGCUGGUCCACUGUUGCCACCCGUUUGCGGCAUCGGCGGGGCAGCGAGCGAGCGAGGUCGUAAAGGAGAAGGCGCGCGGCCUGAUUUCCGGCAGUCUCCCUCCCGCCUGGUCGCCUCAGGCCGACCACGCCCCGCUGUCCCCAACUGGACUCAAAGGAGACCUGGCAGGUGACGACCUGGUCCCCACGUCGGAUUCCGGCGAGGCCUGGGACCCCAGGACCCAGUCAGGCCCACCCGUCAGGGUGGAAGGGGAGACUGACCACCUCCCAGAGACCUCUUAGAAGUCUCACAGGUCGGGCCUUCCGGGGCGCAGCAUCCCUCAGGUGUAGGGACCCUCUGGAUAUUUUGGAGACCUCAUGAAGAGGAAUCUGCCCAAAUCUACCGGUAUUGCAGGUCUUAGGUAAACAAUGGGUCCACCACUCUGGAGUAAAGAAGGCUCACCAGUCGGACAAAUCACACCAAUGGAAAGCCCAACCAAACCUAUGCACCCGCUCCAGCUCCACCUUCAGUGAGACCCCACCAACUGAUGGACAUCUGUUUGCCAUGGUCCCUGGCUAUCAUCGGUGUGAUAGCCCUCACCUCAGGAGUCGGACUUUAUGCUGCUGCCCCUUCUGAUUGGACUUUCCUCCAGAAACUUGUUAUUGUUGUUGCUUAUUCAGCAACUUUAGGAUGGAUUGCUAAGUUCAUAGAAAACACUAAGUUUUCUAUGAACUUAGCAAUCCAUCCUAAAGUUAGCGGCUGUGCAGAUACUAGACUUGCAGGGCUAUCAGCCCAUAGUAGAUGAUAAUGAUACCCUCUAAACCAGGUGUUUAAAGAGGCAUCAAAGGAGGGCAUGAUAAGGGAAAAAUGAAAAGAUGGCCAACCAAACCAGCAAGGGAAUUCCAGUCCCUAUCUCAAAGCCCUUGCAGGCUCUUCUUUCCUACCCUAUUUCCCGCAUGCGCCAAAAGUACCAAGUAUGCAGAAGUAGAAGGGUAUAAAUUCCCCUCCCUCCUUGUGCUCAGAUCUUUGGAGAAUGGUCUCCUCUGAGCCCGCUGGGGUUAAAUAAACCUCCCAUCCUCCAAAGUCUU